RNAcentral lists this ribosomal RNA (732 nucleotides) under Pseudomonas protegens. RNAcentral's name for it is "bacterial SSU rRNA". It matches the Rfam family "Bacterial small subunit ribosomal RNA", at positions 62 to 788 of the family's 1533-position model. The record is from RNAcentral. Lineage: Bacteria; Pseudomonadati; Pseudomonadota; Gammaproteobacteria; Pseudomonadales; Pseudomonadaceae.
UCGAGCGGCAGCACGGGUACUUGUACCUGGUGGCGAGCGGCGGACGGGUGAGUAAUGCCUAGGAAUCUGCCUAGUAGUGGGGGAUAACGUCCGGAAACGGGCGCUAAUACCGCAUACGUCCUACGGGAGAAAGUGGGGGAUCUUCGGACCUCACGCUAUUAGAUGAGCCUAGGUCGGAUUAGCUAGUUGGUGAGGUAAUGGCUCACCAAGGCUACGAUCCGUAACUGGUCUGAGAGGAUGAUCAGUCACACUGGAACUGAGACACGGUCCAGACUCCUACGGGAGGCAGCAGUGGGGAAUAUUGGACAAUGGGCGAAAGCCUGAUCCAGCCAUGCCGCGUGUGUGAAGAAGGUCUUCGGAUUGUAAAGCACUUUAAGUUGGGAGGAAGGGCAGUUACCUAAUACGUGAUUGUUUUGACGUUACCGACAGAAUAAGCACCGGCUAACUCUGUGCCAGCAGCCGCGGUAAUACAGAGGGUGCAAGCGUUAAUCGGAAUUACUGGGCGUAAAGCGCGCGUAGGUGGUUUGUUAAGUUGGAUGUGAAAGCCCCGGGCUCAACCUGGGAACUGCAUCCAAAACUGGCAAGCUAGAGUAUGGUAGAGGGUGGUGGAAUUUCCUGUGUAGCGGUGAAAUGCGUAGAUAUAGGAAGGAACACCAGUGGCGAAGGCGACCACCUGGACUGAUACUGACACUGAGUGCGAAAGCGUGGGGAGCAAACAGGAUUAGAUACCCU